Molecule: ribosomal RNA, 242 nt
Filed under: uncultured Vibrio sp.
Lineage: Bacteria; Pseudomonadati; Pseudomonadota; Gammaproteobacteria; Vibrionales; Vibrionaceae
Description: partial 16S ribosomal RNA
Rfam family: Bacterial small subunit ribosomal RNA
Source: RNAcentral
CUCGUAAGAGCAAAGCAGGGGGACCUUCGGGCCUUGCGCUACCGGAUAUGCCCAGGUGGGAUUAGCUAGUUGGUGAGGUAAGGGCUCACCAAGGCGACGAUCCCUAGCUGGUCUGAGAGGAUGAUCAGCCACACUGGAACUGAGACACGGUCCAGACUCCUACGGGAGGCAGCAGUGGGGAAUAUUGCACAGUGGGCGCAAGCCUGAUGCAGCCAUGCCGCGUGUAUGAAGAAGGCCUUCGG